GAUGAACGCUGGCGGCGUGCUUAACACAUGCAAGUCGAACGAUUAAACUGGCUUCGGCCAGAUAUAGAGUGGCGAACGGGUGAGUAACACGUGACCAACCUGCCCCGCGCUCCGGGACAACCGCUGGAAACGGCGGCUAAUACCGGAUGCUCCGGGGAGGCCCCAUGGCCUCCCCGGGAAAGCCUUAACGGCGCGGGAUGGGGUCGCGGCCCAUUAGGUAGACGGCGGGGUAACGGCCCACCGUGCCCGCGAUGGGUAGCCGGACUGAGAGGUCGACCGGCCACAUUGGGACUGAGAUACGGCCCAGACUCCUACGGGAGGCAGCAGUGGGGAAUUUUGCGCAAUGGGGGCAACCCUGACGCAGCAACGCCGCGUGCGGGACGAAGGCCUUCGGGUUGUAAACCGCUUUCAGCAGGGAAGACUUUGACGGUACCUGCAGAAGAAGCUCC
RNAcentral lists this ribosomal RNA (449 nucleotides) under uncultured bacterium. RNAcentral describes it as "bacterial SSU rRNA". It matches the Rfam family "Bacterial small subunit ribosomal RNA", at positions 28 to 494 of the family's 1533-position model. The record is from RNAcentral.